RNAcentral lists this ribosomal RNA (444 nucleotides) under uncultured bacterium. RNAcentral describes it as "bacterial SSU rRNA". It matches the Rfam family "Bacterial small subunit ribosomal RNA", at positions 29 to 518 of the family's 1533-position model. The record is from RNAcentral.
AACGAACGCUGGCGGCAGGCUUAACACAUGCAAGUCGAGCGAAGACUUCGGUCUUAGCGGCGGACGGGUGAGUAACGCGUGGGAACAUACCCUUUACUACGGAAUAACUCCGGGAAACCGGUGCUAAUACCGUAUACGCCCUUCGGGGGAAAGAUUUAUCGCUGCAAGAUUAGCCCGCGUCGGAUUAGCUAGUUGGUGGGGUAAUGGCCUACCAAGGCUUCGAUCCGUAGCUGGUCUGAGAGGAUGAUCAGCCACACUGGGACUGAGACACGGCCCAGACUCCUACGGGAGGCAGCAGUAGGGAAUAUUGGACAAUGGGCGAAAGCCUGAUCCAGCCAUGCCGCGUGAGUGAAGAAGGCCUUAGGGUUGUAAAGCUCUUUUGGCGGGGAAGAUAAUGACGGUACCCGCAGAAUAAGCUCCGGCUAACUUCGUGCCAGCAGCCGC